CGUAUACCGAUUGAACGUUUUAGUGAGGUAUUUGGAUCGGGCCUUCAGAGGGUAUCCCCCUUUGUUGUUGUCUGAGAAGACUCCCAAACUUGAGCGUUUAGAGGAAGUAAAAGUCGUAACAAGGUUUCCGUAGGUGAACCUGCGGAAGGAUCAU
RNAcentral lists this ribosomal RNA (154 nucleotides) under Tigriopus brevicornis. RNAcentral describes it as "partial 18S ribosomal RNA". It matches the Rfam family "Eukaryotic small subunit ribosomal RNA", at positions 1677 to 1829 of the family's 1831-position model. The record is from RNAcentral. Lineage: Eukaryota; Metazoa; Arthropoda; Copepoda; Harpacticoida; Harpacticidae.